RNAcentral lists this ribosomal RNA (484 nucleotides) under uncultured bacterium. Its description in RNAcentral is "partial 16S ribosomal RNA". It matches the Rfam family "Bacterial small subunit ribosomal RNA", at positions 29 to 523 of the family's 1533-position model. The record is from RNAcentral.
AGUGAACGCCGGCGGCGUGCUUAACACAUGCAAGUCGAACGAGAACGGAUUAUAGCUUGCUAUAAUUGUCAGCUAAGUGGCGCACGGGUGAGUAAUGUAUAGGUAAUAUGCCUCUUACUAAGGGAUAACAAAUGGAAACGUUUGCUAAUACCUUAUACUCCUUAUUAACAGAAGUUAAUAAGGGAAAGAUUUAUUGGUAAGAGAUUAGCCUGUAUUGUAUCAGUUAGUUGGUGGGGUAAUGGCUUACCAAGACUAUGACACAUAACUGGUUUGGGAGGAUGAUCAGUCACACUGGAACUGAGACACGGUCCAGACUCCUACGGGAGGCAGCAGUGGGGAAUAUUGCACAAUGGACGGAAGUCUGAUGGGGCAACGCCGCGUGCAGGAUGAAAGCCUUCGGGUUGUAAACUGCUUUUAUGAGUGAAGAUAAUGACAGUAACUCAAGAAUAAGGGACGGCUAACUACGUGCCAGCCGCCGCCGUAA